This 616-nucleotide long non-coding RNA is filed under the name Homo sapiens (human). RNAcentral's name for it is "novel transcript". The record is from RNAcentral. Lineage: Eukaryota; Metazoa; Chordata; Mammalia; Primates; Hominidae.
CCGCCAUCACGCCCGGCUGCUUUUUUUGUUUUAGUAGAGAGGAGGUUUCACCGUGUUAGCCAGGAUGGUCUCAAUCUCCUGACCUCGUGAUCCGCCCGCCUCGGCCUCUCAAAGUGCUGGGAUUACACGCGUGAGCCACCGCGCCUGGCCUGAAGAAAAGGGAUUACUUUCCUCACUUUGUUAUAUAUCCUGGAAGCUAUGAACAAUGAUGCUUCUUCAUACUCUUCAACCUCAUCAUGAUACCUUGCACGAAGCAGGAGCUCAACUAAUUUGGGUUGAGGCCAGAAUGCCAAUAGUGAGCAAAAAAGGAUGAUAUUUGACACUUGGCAUUGAAUAUCUGAAUCAUGAUGUCCACAUAACUACAGCUAUGCACCACAUAAUGAUGUUUUACUCAACAACAGACCACAUAUACAAUGGUGGUUUCAUAAGGCUAUAAAGGAGCUGAAAAUUUCUUACCACCUCAUGUCCUCAUGUCAUAGUGCAACAUAUUGCUCUUGUGUUUGCAGUGAUGCUGGCAUAAACAAACCCACUGUGCUUUCAGUUGUAUAAAACUGUAGCCCAUACAAUCAUGUACAGUACAUAAUACUCAAUGAUGAUAAACUAAAUGACUAUGUUA